Sinocyclocheilus anshuiensis is the source of this 145-nucleotide long non-coding RNA. RefSeq lists it as uncharacterized. The transcript has 2 exons. Lineage: Eukaryota; Metazoa; Chordata; Actinopteri; Cypriniformes; Cyprinidae. The record is from RefSeq and is a predicted model, not a curated record.
GUGUUUCCGGUGUCCGCUCCGACCGACAUUCGUCACACAGAGACGCGGCGGAAAGCAUGUGCAGCGUUGGAGCUUCUCGAAUAAAAUUAAUUGAAGGAUGAUGCAGAAACUGGUUUGCCGUCUCUGUAAGUGUUGCUUGCGUCUC